Molecule: non-coding RNA, 1807 nt
Organism: Nelumbo nucifera (sacred lotus)
Lineage: Eukaryota; Viridiplantae; Streptophyta; Magnoliopsida; Proteales; Nelumbonaceae
Source: RefSeq, a predicted model, not a curated record
CUUUCUCUUUUUCCUGUAGUGUUUCUUUCUCUCUCAUCUCUUUCUCUCUUUCUCCUCUCUCGUCUGUCUUCUCUCUCGUCUCGUCUCGCCUCUCUCGCCAUGGAUUCUUGGGAGGGGAGCUAAAUAUUGGGCUUCAAAUCUGUGACAAUUUUGUUAGACGGUUUGGGGUUUUCUGUGUUGGAGAAAGUCUGCUUAUUUAAGAUUCAUUUUAUAGAAUUUAUUGGCUUUUUUUUUAUCGCUCUGUUUAGGGUUUUUGAUUAAUCUGGGAAGUGAAUCUUUUGGUUUUCAGUAUAUUGGUUGGGGCAUUACUGAUUUACUUCUGAAUAAUGUGCAUGCUAAAUUAAUCAUCAUUCCAGUAUUUGUGAAACAUUAUGCUUUUCAACCAUGGCAGCAUUAUGUUUAGAGACAUGGUCUCCUUUUGGUGAUUCAAUAAUUGUAUUUUAUCAUUAGCAUUUAGUUGUCUUGAAGUUGUUAUAGUCAUGGAAUAGGAGAGGAUAAUUAAUGGUGAAUUUAACCUUCUUUUUAGAAUACACCAAUCUUGAAAGGGAGUCGCAGAAUACAAGGACCUGUAGAUGAUGCAGAACAUGACAAUCAGAAGAAUUCGGAAUUUUAUAUGUCUAAUCUGCAAUGCAUGGGCAGCUGGACUUCUAGUAUGAAUCAACAUGGUUAAUACCGCUCGGGAGAAAUUGGCCUGCAAGUGUGCAAUAGAUUAAAAAAGCUCAACCAUGUUGUGGAUUCCGAUCUUUGGACAUCACGCCUUGCUGCUGCCAAACACCAAUAUGCGUUGCAGCGCCAUCAGAACUCUCACUUAGAUGGGUUGUGCAUCGACGACUUUGAGGUUGAAGAGGAUGUUCGUCCUGAUUUCCCCUGCCCGUUUUGUUAUGAAGAUUACGAUAUUACUUUUCCAUGUUCGCAUAUCGAAGACGAGCAUCCUUUUGAAUCGAAAGUCACUGUGAGAGUGAGUGGGUUUUAGGGCACUAACCAACUUAAUAGCUUAGAUGCGCAUGAGGCGAUCAAAGAGCCAUUUUCCUACACUGUGCACAGGCCAACCAAUGGGAUCUUUGACCACAGUACCUUUGACACGACGUAUUGGAUAUUGUUGGCCAGAAAGAGAUAUGAUAGAGAGACAUUCUUGUACAACUCGGCCUUACCAUCAAGUUUGCAAAGGACGACCAGUAUGAUCCAUACCAAUCAGAUGGAAAUCGCCGAUGACUGGUUAUCCACCCAGCUUGGGCUCGAGUAGUAAGACUCUAGAAGUGGAGAUUGCAUCGGCACAGGUCCAUUGGCAAUGAUAUUGGAAAGACUUCCAUUGUAAUCGGCCAAUAAGGUCAAGUAGUUCAUCACGUAUCGAGUAAGAGGGUGCAGUCCACCACCAGGAACAGAGGAUUUCGAUGGAUCCUUCUGAAUUGCUGAUUCGAAGUUUGAUGGCCAGUUUACUAAGAGGUUUGUUUGGUAAACUCAGUUUUGGUCCAAAUGUGGCUGUUGUCUACUGUGAUAGUCAGAGUGCUAUUCAUUUGACUAAGGAUCAAAUGUAUCAUGAGAGGACGAAACACAUUGAUGUGGGAUGCCAUUUUAUCUGUGAUGUUGUAAAACAAUGAAAUAUCAUUGUGAAGAAGAUUGGUAUUAUAGAUAACCUAGCUGAUAUGUUAACAAAGCCUCUUCUUGUGGCUAAGUUCAAGCAUUCCUUGGACUUGAUUGGUGUUUGCAACAUUUGAGUUUGCCCAUUGGGGCUUUUGUUGGAGAAGGUGGAGGAAGAUUACUAUUUUGUGAUGUUUGAGAAAAUUCAAGCCAAAGUGGAGAUUUGUUA